This is a long non-coding RNA of Sceloporus undulatus (fence lizard), 434 nucleotides long. RefSeq lists it as uncharacterized. The transcript has 3 exons. NCBI's taxonomy places the organism in Eukaryota, Metazoa, Chordata, Lepidosauria, Squamata, Phrynosomatidae. The record is from RefSeq and is a predicted model, not a curated record.
GCAACACAGAAUUGAGCCAAGGAGGCUGCAUGUCUUCCUAGCAAUGAGAGAGGAGUCCUACUUCUUGAACUUACCUGCUUAUGGAGAAGGAAAAGGAGGGGGAUCAGCAGUGGUGUUACUGAAGAUGGCAUUAUUAUCGAUGGACUCUGUCUAGCAUGUGCCUUAAGGUUAUUAUGAUUUCCAGAAAGGUGCCAGGCAGUUACCUGAGAGGAAAAAAAAUAUGUCAACCCUAUGCACAUGCGGGGCCUUCCAUACAAAGAAUGGUUAUGAAAAUCCUGAGUGACAAGAUAUGUUAACAGUAGGAAGAUAUGAGCUGGAGUCCCUGGUUAAAAUCCCAAUCCAGUGGUGUACAUUUUCACGUCACUACAGUUCAAAAAUAGGAAACAAUAAAUUCAGAGUUGAAAAUAUGUUUUUGUGAAAAUGUUUUUUUUUUC